Molecule: unclassified non-coding RNA, 308 nt
Filed under: Mycoplasma insons
Lineage: Bacteria; Bacillati; Mycoplasmatota; Mollicutes; Mycoplasmatales; Mycoplasmataceae
Description: 16S-23S ribosomal RNA intergenic spacer
Source: RNAcentral
CUUUGGAAUUAAAGUUUUUAACUUUUUAGUUAAAAAAUUAAUACAAAUAUAGUGUACUUUUUUAAUCAAAUCUUUGUUGAAUCUCAAAAAUUUAAAAUUUUUAUUUUAAUUAUCAACAAAGUCGGAUAGUCUCCAGUUUUGAGAAAGCUUUUUUCUCAACGAUUGUUUUUUGACAACUGAAUACAUACAAUCUUUCUGAUCUAUAUCUUUUAUAGAAACUGUUAUUCUAUAUUAGAUUGUAGUGAAAAGAUUAAACCGAGUUAACUAAAUCAAAAAAAUAGAUUACAUAUUAAUACGUUAUAAAUUAA